Molecule: ribosomal RNA, 229 nt
Filed under: uncultured bacterium
Lineage: Bacteria
Description: partial 16S ribosomal RNA
Rfam family: Bacterial small subunit ribosomal RNA
Source: RNAcentral
UGCGUAGGCGGAUAGAUAAGUCAGAGGUGAAAGCCCACAGCUUAACUGUGGAAUUGCCUUUGAUACUGUUUAUCUUGAAUGAGGUUGAGGUUAGCGGAAUGUGACAUGUAGCGGUGAAAUGCAUAGAUAUGUCAUAGAACACCAAUUGCGUAGGCAGCUAGCUAGGCCUUUAUUGACGCUGAGGCACGAAAGCAUGGGGAGCGAACAGGAUUAGAUACCCUGGUAGUCC